UUAGUUAUGCAGAUUCAAGAGACCAGGAUCCUACCAUCACACUGCCCUUUGAUUUCAGAUUGUCUGAAAUUCAUUUGAAGGAUUCCUUGUUGGAUUUUGAAGAUGAGAAAAUUUACAUUUCACAUUGCUUGAAGAACUUGGAGAGAAAGCUUCACCUUUUCCUUGAUGACGGAAUUUCUGUCGAUGAGUCCAGAGUGAACACAAUAGUUG
RNAcentral lists this unclassified non-coding RNA (210 nucleotides) under Hevea brasiliensis (rubber tree). The record is from RNAcentral. Lineage: Eukaryota; Viridiplantae; Streptophyta; Magnoliopsida; Malpighiales; Euphorbiaceae.